AUACCUUUCUCGGCCUUUUGGCUAAGAUCAAGUGUAGCAUCUGUUCUUAUCAGUUUAAUAUCUGAUAUGUGGACCAAUGGUCCACGUGAUAUUAAAUUUAAUGUUUUAAGAGGAGAGCCCAAUACAGUAGCUUGCUACUGGGGUUCUCGAGCGUCGCCCAUGCAUUGCACUGCAGCAAGGGCCUGCGUACCCUCC
Small nuclear RNA from Manihot esculenta (cassava), 195 nucleotides. RefSeq annotates it as U2 spliceosomal RNA. The transcript has a single exon. NCBI's taxonomy places the organism in Eukaryota, Viridiplantae, Streptophyta, Magnoliopsida, Malpighiales, Euphorbiaceae. The record is from RefSeq and is a predicted model, not a curated record.